This 253-nucleotide ribosomal RNA is filed under the name uncultured bacterium. Its description in RNAcentral is "partial 16S ribosomal RNA". It matches the Rfam family "Bacterial small subunit ribosomal RNA", at positions 524 to 776 of the family's 1533-position model. The record is from RNAcentral.
UACGUAGGGUGCAAGCGUUGUCCGGAAUUAUUGGGCGUAAAGAGCUCGUAGGCGGUCUGUCGCGUCGGCUGUGAAAACCCGGGGCUCAACCCCGGGCCUGCAGUCGAUACGGGCAGACUAGAGUGCGGUAGGGGAGACUGGAAUUCCUGGUGUAGCGGUGAAAUGCGCAGAUAUCAGGAGGAACACCGGUGGCGAAGGCGGAUCUCUGGGCCGUAACUGACGCUGAGGAGCGAAAGCGUGGGGAGCGAACAGG